GUCACACCCGUUCCCAUGCCGAACACGGAAGUUAAGCUUCUCAGCGCCGAUGGUAGUUGGGGGUUUCCCCCUGUGAGAGUAGGACGUUGCCAGGC
Molecule: ribosomal RNA, 95 nt
Filed under: Mesobacillus foraminis
Lineage: Bacteria; Bacillati; Bacillota; Bacilli; Caryophanales; Bacillaceae
Source: RNAcentral